GCCUGGGUGGCUUAGUUGGUUAAGCGUCUGAUUUCAGCUCAGGUCAUAAACUCAGGGUCUUGGAAUCAAGUCCCACACCAGGCU
Molecule: transfer RNA, 84 nt
Filed under: Ailuropoda melanoleuca (giant panda)
Lineage: Eukaryota; Metazoa; Chordata; Mammalia; Carnivora; Ursidae
Rfam family: tRNA
About the family: Transfer RNA (tRNA) molecules are approximately 80 nucleotides in length. Their secondary structure includes four short double-helical elements and three loops (D, anti-codon, and T loops).
Source: Rfam by way of RNAcentral